This is a small nucleolar RNA of Apodemus sylvaticus (European woodmouse), 131 nucleotides long. RefSeq annotates it as small nucleolar RNA SNORA17. The record is from RefSeq and is a predicted model, not a curated record. The transcript has a single exon. Lineage: Eukaryota; Metazoa; Chordata; Mammalia; Rodentia; Muridae.
UCUGCCCCUAGAGUCAUUGUGGGUGUGGCUGCUGUGUCAUUUGUACAGCAAUAGGUGGCAGAGAGGAGAGUGGCUACGUCUACACUCAGUGUUCUGACCUAUGAACAUCUGAAUGUUAGCAGCCUAACAUU